AGGAUUAACGCUGGCGGCGUGCCUAACACAUGCAAGUCGAACGAGGUAGCAAUACCUAGUGGCAGACGGGUGAGUAGCGCGUGGUCAACCUACCGUUGAGUGGGGGAUAACUAGCCGAAAGGUUAGCUAAUACCGCAUACGUCUCCGAGGGGCAUCCCUUGGUGAUAAAAGGAGCAAUCCGCUCGAUGACGGGACCGCGUCCCAUUAGCUAGUUGGUGGGGUAACGGCCUACCAAGGCAUCGAUGGGUAGCUGGUUUGAGAGAGCGACCAGCCACACUGGGACUGAGAUACGGCCCAGACUCCUACGGGAGGCAGCAGUGAGGAAUUUUCCGCAAUGGGCGAAAGCCUGACGGAGCGACGCCGCGUGUGGGAAGAAGGCCUUCGGGUCGUAACCACUGUCGAAGGGGAAGAUAAUGACGGUACCUUGGAGGAAGCCCCGGCUAACUACGCGCCAGCAGCCGC
This 462-nucleotide ribosomal RNA is filed under the name uncultured bacterium. RNAcentral's name for it is "SSU rRNA". It matches the Rfam family "Bacterial small subunit ribosomal RNA", at positions 26 to 518 of the family's 1533-position model. The record is from RNAcentral.